UACGUAGGGGGCAAGCGUUGUCCGGAAUCAUUGGGCGUAAAGCGCGUGUAGGCGGCUAGGUAAGUCUGCUCUGAAAGCCCGGGGCUCAACCCCGGGAGGCGGGUGGAUACUGUCUAGCUCGAGUCCGGAAGAGGAGUGUGGAAUUCCUGGUGUAGCGGUGAAAUGCGCAGAUAUCAGGAGGAACACCAAUGGCGAAGGCAGCCCGCUGGGACGUGACUGACGCUGAGACGCGAAAGCGUGGGGAGCAAACAGG
RNAcentral lists this ribosomal RNA (253 nucleotides) under uncultured bacterium. RNAcentral describes it as "partial 16S ribosomal RNA". It matches the Rfam family "Bacterial small subunit ribosomal RNA", at positions 524 to 776 of the family's 1533-position model. The record is from RNAcentral.